AAUGUGUGCCUUCGUUGAGAGAAGAACAAAGGCCUCGACAUGAUAGUUCAGCAUCGACUCCAAAACCCUCCUUCUCCAUUCAAAAUCAUUGAAGCCGAGUUCCACUUUCCCAGAAGAAGUUUCAUUGGUUAAAGAUGGAUUUUCAUUCAGUUUCAUUUACAAAUUCAUUCCAACUUCAAGAAGACUUAUCCACUUUCCAAGUCCCUUUUGCCUUCUUUGAUUUUUCCAGAUUUGAACUUUGCUGAUCCGACCUUUGAAUAGUGCAUCGAUGGCUCACACGAUUGAAGAAAUCCUUGUAAAGUUAGCGUGGCUACAACAUUCAGGUAGGCAUACAGAAAAAAACAG
Long non-coding RNA from Belonocnema kinseyi, 345 nucleotides. RefSeq lists it as uncharacterized. The record is from RefSeq and is a predicted model, not a curated record. Lineage: Eukaryota; Metazoa; Arthropoda; Insecta; Hymenoptera; Cynipidae. The transcript has 3 exons.